CUUUAGCUCAGUUGGCCAGAGCACGUGAUUUGUAAUCUCGGGGUCGUUGGUUCGAAUCCCUC
Molecule: transfer RNA, 62 nt
Filed under: uncultured Prevotella sp.
Lineage: Bacteria; Pseudomonadati; Bacteroidota; Bacteroidia; Bacteroidales; Prevotellaceae
Rfam family: tRNA
About the family: Transfer RNA (tRNA) molecules are approximately 80 nucleotides in length. Their secondary structure includes four short double-helical elements and three loops (D, anti-codon, and T loops).
Source: RNAcentral